Molecule: transfer RNA, 67 nt
Filed under: Bifidobacterium animalis
Lineage: Bacteria; Bacillati; Actinomycetota; Actinomycetes; Bifidobacteriales; Bifidobacteriaceae
Also listed under: 12 other names
Description: tRNA-Leu (CAA) (tRNA-Leu-CAA-2-1)
Source: RNAcentral
GGAUAAACUGUAGAAACGUGGGCUCAUAACCCAGAGGUCCAUGGUUCAAAUCCAUGCCCCGCUACCA